RNAcentral lists this ribosomal RNA (500 nucleotides) under uncultured bacterium. RNAcentral's name for it is "partial 16S ribosomal RNA". It matches the Rfam family "Bacterial small subunit ribosomal RNA", at positions 30 to 526 of the family's 1533-position model. The record is from RNAcentral.
AUUGAACGCUGGCGGAAUGCUUUACACAUGCAAGUCGAACGGCAGCACGGACUUCGGUCUGGUGGCGAGUGGCGAACGGGUGAGUAAUACAUCGGAACGUGCCCAGUCGUGGGGGAUAACGUAGCGAAAGCUACGCUAAUACCGCAUACGAUCUAAGGAUGAAAGCGGGGGAUCGCAAGACCUCGCGCGAUUGGAGCGGCCGAUGGCAGAUUAGGUAGUUGGUAGGGUAAAGGCCUACCAAGCCGACGAUCUGUAGCUGGUCUGAGAGGAUGAUCAGCCACACUGGGACUGAGACACGGCCCAGACUCCUACGGGAGGCAGCAGUGGGGAAUUUUGGACAAUGGGCGCAAGCCUGAUCCAGCCAUUCCGCGUGCAGGAUGAAGGCCUUCGGGUUGUAAACUGCUUUUGUACAGAACGAAAAGGCUCUGGUUAAUACCCGGGGCUCAUGACGGUACUGUAAGAAUAAGCACCGGCUAACUACGUGCCAGCCGCCGUAACAC